Transfer RNA from Camelus ferus (Wild Bactrian camel), 72 nucleotides. It matches the Rfam family "tRNA". From Rfam's summary of the family: Transfer RNA (tRNA) molecules are approximately 80 nucleotides in length. Their secondary structure includes four short double-helical elements and three loops (D, anti-codon, and T loops). Further hydrogen bonds mediate the characteristic L-shaped molecular structure. tRNAs have two regions of fundamental functional importance: the anti-codon, which is responsible for specific mRNA codon recognition, and the 3' end, to which the tRNAs corresponding amino acid is attached (by aminoacyl-tRNA synthetases). tRNAs cope with the degeneracy of the genetic code in two manners: having more than one tRNA (with a specific anti-codon) for a particular amino acid; and 'wobble' base-pairing, i.e. permitting non-standard base-pairing at the 3rd anti-codon position. The record is from Rfam. Lineage: Eukaryota; Metazoa; Chordata; Mammalia; Artiodactyla; Camelidae.
GAGGGUAUAGCCCAGUGGUAGAGUGCCUGCUUAGCAUGCAUGAGGUCCUGGGCUCAAUCCUCAGUACCUCCA